This 208-nucleotide ribosomal RNA is filed under the name uncultured Syntrophaceae bacterium. RNAcentral describes it as "partial 16S ribosomal RNA". It matches the Rfam family "Bacterial small subunit ribosomal RNA", at positions 568 to 775 of the family's 1533-position model. Lineage: Bacteria; Pseudomonadati; Thermodesulfobacteriota; Syntrophia; Syntrophales; Syntrophaceae. The record is from RNAcentral.
CGUGUAGGCGGCUAGACAAGUCAGAUGUGAAAUCCCUGGGCUUAACCCAGGAAGUGCAUUUGAAACUGUCCUGCUAGAGUAAGGGAGAGGGAAGUGGAAUUCCUGGUGUAGAGGUGAAAUUCGUAGAUAUCAGGAGGAACACCGGUGGCGAAGGCGACUUUCUGGCCCUAUACUGACGCUGAGACGCGAAAGCGUGGGUAGCAAACAG